RNAcentral lists this ribosomal RNA (460 nucleotides) under uncultured bacterium. RNAcentral's name for it is "bacterial SSU rRNA". It matches the Rfam family "Bacterial small subunit ribosomal RNA", at positions 340 to 787 of the family's 1533-position model. The record is from RNAcentral.
UACGGAAGGCAGCAGUGGGGAAUAUUGCACAAUGGGCGCAAGCCUGAUGCAGCCAUGCCGCGUGUAUGAAGAAGGCCUUCGGGUUGUAAAGUACUUUCAGCGGGGAGGAAGGCGAUGCGGUUAAUAACCGCGUCGAUUGACGUUACCCGCAGAAGAAGCACCGGCUAACUCCGUGCCAGCAGCCGCGGUAAUACGGAGGGUGCAAGCGUUAAUCGGAAUUACUGGGCGUAAAGCGCACGCAGGCGGUCUGUUAAGUCAGAUGUGAAAUCCCCGGGCUUAACCUGGGAACUGCAUUUUGAAACUGGCAGGCUUGAGUCUUGUAGAGGGGGUAGAAUUCCAGGUGUAGCGGUGAAAUGCGUAGAGAUCUGGAGGAAUACCGGUGGCGAAGGCGGCCCCUGGGACAAAGACUGACGCUCAGGUGCGAAAGCGUGGGGAGCAAACGAGGAUUAGGAUACUAACC